Molecule: long non-coding RNA, 206 nt
Filed under: Elaeis guineensis (African oil palm)
Lineage: Eukaryota; Viridiplantae; Streptophyta; Magnoliopsida; Arecales; Arecaceae
Description: long non-coding RNA (EGUI_LNC069811)
Source: RNAcentral
CUUGUAAUAGAAGCUUGGAUGGAGUCUACCUACAAUAGAAAUUCGGGGCAGAGGUCCGGCUCCCGUAGGAGCUCGGAUGAAAUCAAAAAGGUGGUCGACCGUCGUAGAAAUAUCGGUGGAGUCGGGUUGCUAUAGAAAUCUAUCCUCGGGGAAGUUCGGCCAUGGACGAAGUCUGAGAAAUUUGGAUUAGAAUCUAUCAUGGCUGG